GGAGACUGGUGAGCACCGUUCUGUCUUGCCCAGAAGACCCCGCAGUGCGAGGCCGCCUGACCGAGUGCCUGGAGACCAUCCUGAACAAAGCCCAAGAACCGCCCAAGUCGAAGAAGGUCCAGCAUUCCAACGCCAAGAACGCCGUGCUCUUCGAGGCCAUCAGCUUAAUCAUUCACCAUGACAGUGAGCCGAACCUGCUUGUCCGCGCCUGCAACCAGUUGGGCCAGUUCCUGCAGCACCGCGAGA
Molecule: small RNA, 246 nt
Filed under: Pongo abelii (Sumatran orangutan)
Lineage: Eukaryota; Metazoa; Chordata; Mammalia; Primates; Hominidae
Description: retained intron
Source: RNAcentral